Molecule: non-coding RNA, 31 nt
Filed under: Mus musculus (house mouse)
Lineage: Eukaryota; Metazoa; Chordata; Mammalia; Rodentia; Muridae
Source: RNAcentral
UGUGAGACUGAGCUGUGGAAGGAACAGCAUC